Molecule: unclassified non-coding RNA, 200 nt
Filed under: Rhinocladiella sp.
Lineage: Eukaryota; Fungi; Ascomycota; Eurotiomycetes; Chaetothyriales; Herpotrichiellaceae
Description: partial internal transcribed spacer 2
Source: RNAcentral
UUAAGUUCAGCGGGUAUCCCUACCUGAUCCGAGGUCAACACUUAAGAAAGUACUCCGAAGAGGAGUGGUUAAAGACCGCCGCCCACAGAUUCACGCCGCGUACAUGCUCGGUUAAAAGCUCCUCGUACCGGUUCCAUCUGGGACGCCGUCACUAUCUUUGAGGCCGAUUUUGUUGACAAAUCCAGCCCAACACCAAGCCG